RNAcentral lists this ribosomal RNA (500 nucleotides) under Hypselobarbus mussullah. Its description in RNAcentral is "eukaryotic LSU rRNA". It matches the Rfam family "Eukaryotic large subunit ribosomal RNA", at positions 1494 to 1955 of the family's 3401-position model. The record is from RNAcentral. Lineage: Eukaryota; Metazoa; Chordata; Actinopteri; Cypriniformes; Cyprinidae.
AAGUGGAGAAGGGUUCCAUGUGAACAGCAGUUGAACAUGGGUCAGUCGGUCCUAAGGGAUGGGCGAAAGCCGUUCGGAAGGGAGGGGCGAUGGCCUCCGUCGCCCCCAGUCGAUCGAAAGGGAAUCGGGUUCAGAUCCCCGAACCCGGAGUGGCGGAGACGGGCGCCGCUCGGCGCCCAGUGCGGUAACGCAAACGAACCCGGAGAAGCUGGCGGGGGCCCCGGGAAGAGUUCUCUUUUCUUUGUGAAGGGCCGGGCACCCUGGAAUGGGUUCGUCCCGAGAUAGGGGCCCACGCCCUGGAAAGCGCCGCGGUUCCGGCGGCGUCCGGUGAGCUCUCGUCGGCCCUUGAAAAUCCGGGGGAGAAGGUGUAAGUCUCGCGCCGGGCCGUACCCAUAUCCGCAGCAGGUCUCCAAGGUGAACAGCCUCUGGCGUGUUAGAACAAGGCAGCGUAAGGGAAGUCGGCAAGUCAGAUCCGUAACUUCGGGAUAAGGAUUGGCUCU